AGAACCUGAAACCCUGCACUUACAAGCUGUGGAAGCACAUUUCUUGUGUGACCGCGUACUUUUUGUAGACCGGGCCAACGAGUUACGUUAAGUAGCAAGGUUAAGCACUUAAGGUGCGGAGCCGUAGCGAAAGCGAGUUUUAACUGAGCGUUCAGUUAUUUGACGUAGACCCGAAACCGGGCGACCUACCCAUGAGCAGGAUGAAGCGAAAGUAAAAUUUCGUGGAGGUCCGAACCCACGAGCGUUGAAAAGCUCGGGGAUG
RNAcentral lists this ribosomal RNA (262 nucleotides) under Clostridioides difficile. RNAcentral's name for it is "partial 23S ribosomal RNA". It matches the Rfam family "Bacterial large subunit ribosomal RNA", at positions 545 to 806 of the family's 2925-position model. The record is from RNAcentral. Lineage: Bacteria; Bacillati; Bacillota; Clostridia; Peptostreptococcales; Peptostreptococcaceae.